AGUGCUAAUGAAGGCCCCACCACCUGAACGAAGGUAACGGCGAAUACCGUCAAGCAGAGAUAGAGUAGCACUUGGUUCCACAUGUUCAGCUACCUCAAAGCAGGUGAUGACGUCGUAUUCGAGUUGGACUCCACCAAACAUCUCGUCCAUGGUAUCUGGGAAGAUACCAGAUAGGAGGUCAAUCGGGAACUUGCCAGUUCCAAACAUGGCAGGCACCACAAGCUUAUUA
RNAcentral lists this unclassified non-coding RNA (229 nucleotides) under root metagenome. RNAcentral describes it as "partial internal transcribed spacer 1". The record is from RNAcentral.